RNAcentral lists this transfer RNA (74 nucleotides) under Choiromyces venosus 120613-1. RNAcentral's name for it is "tRNA-Val". Lineage: Eukaryota; Fungi; Ascomycota; Pezizomycetes; Pezizales; Tuberaceae. The record is from RNAcentral.
GGUUUUGUGGUGUAGUUGGUUAUCACAUCUGUCUAACACACUGGUGGUCCCCAGUUCGAGUCAGGACCAAAUUA